Molecule: transfer RNA, 68 nt
Filed under: Stenella longirostris (spinner dolphin)
Lineage: Eukaryota; Metazoa; Chordata; Mammalia; Artiodactyla; Delphinidae
Description: tRNA-Asp
Rfam family: tRNA
About the family: Transfer RNA (tRNA) molecules are approximately 80 nucleotides in length.
Source: RNAcentral
GAGAUAUUAGUAAAGUAUUACGUGACUUUGUCAAAGUUAAAUCACAAGUGAAAAUCUUGUAUAUCUCC